Molecule: long non-coding RNA, 363 nt
Filed under: Elaeis guineensis (African oil palm)
Lineage: Eukaryota; Viridiplantae; Streptophyta; Magnoliopsida; Arecales; Arecaceae
Description: long non-coding RNA (EGUI_LNC011237)
Source: RNAcentral
UGGUCCAAUUGGAAGUGAGAGUUUUUUUUAUGUUUGUUGUUUUUAAAAGUAACUUGAGCGAUGAUAUCAAAUCGAGUGUCAGCUUGUAUGAUGCAUCAUCUCUCUUCGGCCAUCGAUGGCUAUUACCUCAUUGCGCUUAUCAUCACUUGCUUUACUGGGAAGGGUCCUUCCUCUUCCCUCAUUCCCACGUCUUUCAUCCUUUGACUCACCCUCCGGUCCUUCUCCUCUUCCUGCCCUCUUCUUUAUCUUCUCUGGCUCUCCACUUGCCCCGACAUGUUUCCUCUUCUCGAUAGGGUAAAUAUUUAUUGCAACAGUAAUACUAUAUCAAAUUUAUAACAAGUCAAUCAAAAAUCAAAAAUCAAU